AACGAACGCUGGCGGCAGGCCUAACACAUGCAAGUCGAGCGAGGACUUCGGUCCUAGCGGCGGACGGGUGAGUAACGCGUGGGAACGUGCCCUUUGCUUCGGAAUAGCCCUGGGAAACUGGGAGUAAUACCGGAUGAGCCCUUUGGGGGAAAGAUUUAUCGGCGAAGGAUCGGCCCGCGUUGGAUUAGGUAGUCGGUGGGGUAAUGGCCUACCAAGCCGACGAUCCAUAGCUGGUUUGAGAGGAUGAUCAGCCACACUGGGACUGAGACACGGCCCAGACUCCUACGGGAGGCAGCAGUGGGGAAUCUUAGACAAUGGGGGAAACCCUGAUCUAGCCAUGCCGCGUGAGCGAUGAAGGCCUUAGGGUUGUAAAGCUCUUUCAGCUGGGAAGAUAAUGACGGUACCAGCAGAAGAAGCCCCGGCUAACUCCGUG
This 433-nucleotide ribosomal RNA is filed under the name uncultured bacterium. RNAcentral describes it as "partial 16S ribosomal RNA". It matches the Rfam family "Bacterial small subunit ribosomal RNA", at positions 29 to 507 of the family's 1533-position model. The record is from RNAcentral.